Molecule: ribosomal RNA, 500 nt
Filed under: uncultured bacterium
Lineage: Bacteria
Description: partial 16S ribosomal RNA
Rfam family: Bacterial small subunit ribosomal RNA
Source: RNAcentral
AUUGAACGCUGGCGGCAUGCCUUACACAUGCAAGUCGAACGGCAGCACGGGAGCAAUCCUGGUGGCGAGUGGCGAACGGGUGAGUAAAGUAUCGGAACGUGCCCAGUCGUGGGGGAUAACGUAGCGAAAGUUACGCUAAUACCGCUAACGAUCUAUGGAUGAAAGCGGGGGAUCGCAAGACCUCGCGCGAUUGGAGGGGCCGAUAUCAGAUUAGGUAGUUGGUGGGGUAAAGGCUCACCAAGCCGACGAUCUGUAGCUGGUCUGAGAGGACGACAAGCCACACUGGGACUGAGACACGGCCCAGACUCCUACGGGAGGCAGCAGUGGGGAAUUUUGGACAAUGGGCGAAAGCCUGAUCCAGCCAUGCCGCGUGCAGGAUGAAGGCCUUCGGGUUGUAAACUGCUUUUGUACAGAACGAAAAGGUUUGGGCUAAUAAGCUGAGCUCAUGACGGUACCGUAAGAAUAAGCACCGGCUAACUACGUGCCAGCCGCCGCCGUAA